RNAcentral lists this ribosomal RNA (253 nucleotides) under uncultured bacterium. Its description in RNAcentral is "partial 16S ribosomal RNA". It matches the Rfam family "Bacterial small subunit ribosomal RNA", at positions 524 to 776 of the family's 1533-position model. The record is from RNAcentral.
UACGGGGGGGGCAAGCGUUGUUCGGAAUUACUGGGCGUAAAGGGCGCGUAGGCGGCCUGCUAAGUCGGAUGUGAAAUCCCUCGGCUCAACCGGGGAACUGCAUCCGAUACUGGCGGGCUUGAAUCCGGGAGAGGGAUGUGGAAUUCCAGGUGUAGCGGUGAAAUGCGUAGAUAUCUGGAGGAACACCGGUGGCGAAGGCGGCAUCCUGGACCAACACUGACACUGAGGAGCGAAAGCCAGGGGAGCAAACGGG